GGACAGUGGCGGGGUGCUAAUACAUGCAAGUAGAACGCUGAAGAGAGGAGCUUGCUCUUCUUGGAUGAGUUGCGAACGGGUGAGUAACGCGUAGGUAACCUGCCUUGUAGCGGGGGAUAACUAUUGGAAACGAUAGCUAAUACCGCAUAACAAUGGAUGACACAUGUCAUUUAUUUGAAAGGGGCAAUUGCUCCACUACAAGAUGGACCUGCGUUGUAUUAGCUAGUAGGUGAGGUAACGGCUCACCUAGGCGACGAUACAUAGCCGACCUGAGAGGGUGAUCGGCCACACUGGGACUGAGACACGGCCCAGACUCCUACGGGAGGCAGCAGUAGGGAAUCUUCGGCAAUGGGGGCAACCCUGACCGAGCAACGCCGCGUGAGUGAAGAAGGUUUUCGGAUCGUAAAGCUCUGUUGUAAGUCAAGAACGAGUGUGAGAGUGGAAAGUUCACACUGUGACGGUAGCUUACCAGAAAGGGACGGCUAACUACGUGCCAGCAGCCGCGGUAAUACGUAGGUCCCGAGCGUUGUCCGGAUUUAUUGGGCGUAAAGCGAGCGCAGGCGGUUUGAUAAGUCUGAAGUUAAAGGCUGUGGCUCAACCAUAGUUCGCUUUGGAAACUGUCAAACUUGAGUGCAGAAGGGGAGAGUGGAAUUCCAUGUGUAGCGGUGAAAUGCGUAGAUAUAUGGAGGAACACCGGUGGCGAAAGCGGCUCUCUGGUCUGUAACUGACGCUGAGGCUCGAAAGCGUGGGGAGCGAACAGGAUUAGAUACCCUGGUAGUCCACGCCGUAAACGAUGAGUGCUAGGUGUUGGAUCCUUUCCGGGAUUCAGUGCCGCAGCUAACGCAUUAAGCACUCCGCCUGGGGAGUACGACCGCAAGGUUGAAACUCAAAGGAAUUGACGGGGGCCCGCACAAGCGGUGGAGCAUGUGGUUUAAUUCGAAGCAACGCGAAGAACCUUACCAGGUCUUGACAUCCCGAUGCUAUUUCUAGAGAUAGAAAGUUACUUCGGUACAUCGGUGACAGGUGGUGCAUGGUUGUCGUCAGCUCGUGUCGUGAGAUGUUGGGUUAAGUCCCGCAACGAGCGCAACCCCUAUUGUUAGUUGCCAUCAUUCAGUUGGGCACUCUAGCGAGACUGCCGGUAAUAAACCGGAGGAAGGUGGGGAUGACGUCAAAUCAUCAUGCCCCUUAUGACCUGGGCUACACACGUGCUACAAUGGUUGGUACAACGAGUUGCGAGUCGGUGACGGCAAGCUAAUCUCUUAAAGCCAAUCUCAGUUCGGAUUGUAGGCUGCAACUCGCCUACAUGAAGUCGGAAUCGCUAGUAAUCGCGGAUCAGCACGCCGCGGUGAAUACGUUCCCGGGCCUUGUACACACCGCCCGUCACACCACGAGAGUUUGUAACACCCGAAGUCGGUGAGGUAACCUUUUGGAGCCAGCCGCCUAAGGUGGAUAAGAAGC
This 1458-nucleotide ribosomal RNA is filed under the name Streptococcus salivarius. RNAcentral describes it as "bacterial SSU rRNA". It matches the Rfam family "Bacterial small subunit ribosomal RNA". Lineage: Bacteria; Bacillati; Bacillota; Bacilli; Lactobacillales; Streptococcaceae. The record is from RNAcentral.